RNAcentral lists this transfer RNA (108 nucleotides) under Salmonella enterica subsp. arizonae serovar 18:z4,z23:- str. CVM N29354. RNAcentral describes it as "tRNA-Arg". It matches the Rfam family "tRNA". From Rfam's summary of the family: Transfer RNA (tRNA) molecules are approximately 80 nucleotides in length. Their secondary structure includes four short double-helical elements and three loops (D, anti-codon, and T loops). Further hydrogen bonds mediate the characteristic L-shaped molecular structure. tRNAs have two regions of fundamental functional importance: the anti-codon, which is responsible for specific mRNA codon recognition, and the 3' end, to which the tRNAs corresponding amino acid is attached (by aminoacyl-tRNA synthetases). tRNAs cope with the degeneracy of the genetic code in two manners: having more than one tRNA (with a specific anti-codon) for a particular amino acid; and 'wobble' base-pairing, i.e. permitting non-standard base-pairing at the 3rd anti-codon position. Lineage: Bacteria; Pseudomonadati; Pseudomonadota; Gammaproteobacteria; Enterobacterales; Enterobacteriaceae. The record is from RNAcentral.
GCAUCCGUAGCUCAGCUGGAUAGAGUACUCGGCUACGAACCGAGCGGUGGAUAGAGUACUCGGCUACGAACCGAGCGGUCGGAGGUUCGAAUCCUCCCGGAUGCACCA